Molecule: ribosomal RNA, 301 nt
Filed under: uncultured bacterium
Lineage: Bacteria
Description: partial 16S ribosomal RNA
Rfam family: Bacterial small subunit ribosomal RNA
Source: RNAcentral
CAGUCGCCGCGGUAAUACGAGGGGGGCAAGCGUUGUUCGGAAUUAUUGGGCGUAAAGGGUGCGUAGGCGGUUUGAUAAGUCUUGUGUGAAAUCUCUGGGCUCAACCCAGAGUCUGCACAGGAAACUGUCGGGCUUGAGAGUGGGAGAGGUGAGUGGAAUUUCCGGUGUAGCGGUGAAAUGCGUAGAUAUCGGAAGGAACACCUGUGGCGAAAGCGGCUCACUGGACCAUUUCUGACGCUGAUGCACGAAAGCUAGGGGAGCAAACAGGAUUAGAUACCCCAGUAGUCCCUGUCUCUUAUAA